UGCGCCCAUAGCUCAACUGGAUAGAGUGUUUGACUACGGAUCAAAAGGUUAGGGGUUCGAAUCCUCUUGGGCGCGU
This 76-nucleotide transfer RNA is filed under the name Enterococcus hirae. RNAcentral's name for it is "tRNA-Arg". It matches the Rfam family "tRNA". Rfam says of the family: Transfer RNA (tRNA) molecules are approximately 80 nucleotides in length. Their secondary structure includes four short double-helical elements and three loops (D, anti-codon, and T loops). The record is from RNAcentral. Lineage: Bacteria; Bacillati; Bacillota; Bacilli; Lactobacillales; Enterococcaceae.